CUAUCUAAAGUUAUAGCAACUGAACCAGGAAGACAGUUUUAUAGCUAGAAAUUUCUGUUACAGGCAUCCAAUUGUUAGAAAAGUUCCUGUGCAGAAACCAUGUGUGUGUUGUGGGCCUACAACCAUGGCAGCUAUUCAAAUAUUAAAGAGUGGGACAAAGCAGAAGCCUAGCAGUCUGAAGCAGAUAAAAAAUAAGGAUGGACAAUAUGUUGGAAAGACAUUUACAUAA
Molecule: long non-coding RNA, 229 nt
Filed under: Zonotrichia albicollis (white-throated sparrow)
Lineage: Eukaryota; Metazoa; Chordata; Aves; Passeriformes; Passerellidae
Description: lncRNA (ENSZALG00000011714.1)
Source: RNAcentral